ACGCUCGACACCUACGGGAGGCAGCAGUAGGGAAUCUUCCACAAUGGACGCAAGUCUGAUGGAGCAACGCCGCGUGAGUGAAGAAGGUCUUCGGAUCGUAAAACUCUGUUGUUAGAGAAGAACACGAGUGAGAGUAACUGUUCAUUCGAUGACGGUAUCUAACCAGCAAGUCACGGCUAACUACGUACCAGCAGCCGCGGUAAUCUGAGCGGGCUGGCAAGGC
Molecule: ribosomal RNA, 223 nt
Filed under: uncultured bacterium
Lineage: Bacteria
Description: partial 16S ribosomal RNA
Rfam family: Bacterial small subunit ribosomal RNA
Source: RNAcentral